Molecule: long non-coding RNA, 220 nt
Filed under: Lathyrus oleraceus (garden pea)
Lineage: Eukaryota; Viridiplantae; Streptophyta; Magnoliopsida; Fabales; Fabaceae
Description: Pisum sativum (pea) long non-coding RNA (PSAT_LNC020637)
Source: RNAcentral
ACCCAUUGGAAAGACACAAGCUGACUCAAACUAUCCACAAAGGAUACUUCGGAAAAAAUCCGGACUCAGACCAAGGAAAAGAUUCACAAAGAACCUCCCUGCCGGGGAAAAUUGCAUAUAUUGGGGAAACGCCAAUACAGCAAAAGGGUAAAAAUCACAGGAAACUCCACUGGAGAAGGUCUAACAAAAAGACUCUCCUGGAGAAGCAACAAAGAAUGAG